AGAUGGCGACCGGCGCACGGGUGAGUAACACGUAUCCAACCUGCCGAUGACUCGGGGAUAGCCUUUCGAAAGAAAGAUUAAUACCCGAUGGCAUAGUUCUUCCGCAUGGUGGAACUAUUAAAGAAUUUCGGUCAUCGAUGGGGAUGCGUUCCAUUAGGUUGUUGGCGGGGUAACGGCCCACCAAGCCUUCGAUGGAUAGGGGUUCUGAGAGGAAGGUCCCCCACAUUGGAACUGAGACACGGCCCAAACUCCUACGGGAGGCAGCAUG
RNAcentral lists this ribosomal RNA (268 nucleotides) under uncultured bacterium. RNAcentral describes it as "partial 16S ribosomal RNA". It matches the Rfam family "Bacterial small subunit ribosomal RNA", at positions 86 to 353 of the family's 1533-position model. The record is from RNAcentral.